RNAcentral lists this long non-coding RNA (258 nucleotides) under Salvia miltiorrhiza (redroot sage). Its description in RNAcentral is "long non-coding RNA (SMIL_LNC004306)". Lineage: Eukaryota; Viridiplantae; Streptophyta; Magnoliopsida; Lamiales; Lamiaceae. The record is from RNAcentral.
AAUGUUACGUUCAAGCAAGUUAUUUCAUGACAAAAUCUUUGAAUUGAUGUUAUUUCAAGUAUUGUCUUGCCAUAAAAUGUUUCAAUUUCAGUAUGAUAUCUAUCUGAUAUGGCUUUGCCAAUUAUCAUGUAAUCGAAUUCGAGUCUUGAGCAGUUGAUAGCUAUCCUGCCUUGGCUAGUGUACACCAGUGACCGUGAGUCAUCUAGCGGGUUGGCCGGUCAAGUGACCGUGAGAGGUGGCCACCUCUCCGGCACACAG